UACAGAGGUCUCAAGCGUUGUUCGGAAUCACUGGGCGUAAAGGGUGCGUAGGCCGCGCGGUAAGUCAGAGGUGAAAUCCCGGAGCUCAACUUCGGAACUGCCUCCGAUACUGCCGUGCUUGAGGACUGGAGAGGAGAUUGGAAUUCACAGUGGAGCAGUGAAAUGCGUAGAUAUUGUGAGGAACACUAGUGGCGAAGGCGAAUCUCUGGACAGUUCCUGACGCUGAGGCACGAAGGCCAGGGGAGCAAACGGG
Molecule: ribosomal RNA, 253 nt
Filed under: uncultured bacterium
Lineage: Bacteria
Description: partial 16S ribosomal RNA
Rfam family: Bacterial small subunit ribosomal RNA
Source: RNAcentral